CACUUUUCUCCGAUCAACACCCAUCGACCACCGCAUCACCACCUCUGUCUGCACCAUCCACCACCGUCUCCACCACACCACCACCUUCACCGGCGCCGUCGCAAAGCCACCGUCAACCACCCUGUGUCACCACCGAUCGUUUCCAUCCAGUUCCUGCACCACCUCUGACUUCUAACAUCAUACUUCUCCUUAUUCUGCUUCCCGGACCUCCGAUUCACUUCCUACGACAACCUCGAGCCACCACCCUCGAGACACCACAACCGUUCCGGUCAACACCACAACUCCGCCGCAUCUUUACACCAUCUCCGGGCCGACGACCCAUCUACCACCACUUCACAAUCAACUAGAGACACAUAAACCACAAGAAGGUCUUCGAAUCGGAGCAGUUGAGUAAAAGAAUUGGUGAUUGAAUUCAUUUUUAAGAGUUUGAUUUUUUUUUUGUUCCUGCAGUGUUUUCGAAGUAAGAGAGAGAGGAGAAUCGGGUGGCGGC
This 490-nucleotide long non-coding RNA is filed under the name Helianthus annuus (common sunflower). The record is from RNAcentral. Lineage: Eukaryota; Viridiplantae; Streptophyta; Magnoliopsida; Asterales; Asteraceae.